Brachypodium distachyon (stiff brome) is the source of this 123-nucleotide non-coding RNA. Lineage: Eukaryota; Viridiplantae; Streptophyta; Magnoliopsida; Poales; Poaceae. The record is from Rfam.
AAUCUACUCCCUCCGUUCCAUAAUUCUUGUCUCAAAUUUGUCCAAAAUUGGAUGUAUCUAUUCCUAAAGUGUCUGGAUACAUGUAAUAUUUGGACAAGAAUUAUGGAACGGAGUGAGUAAUGA